UUAAUUAAGAGUUUAAUGUUGGCUCUGAAUGAACGCUGUCUAGAAGCAUUACACAUGCAAAUCGAACGUAUAAGACACGUGGUGUACGGGUGAGUAAAAAUAGAAAUCUACCCAUUAGCAGGGUUAAAUACCCAAUAAAACAAAGUGAAUUAACGCUAAUGGAUGAGUCUAGUAAGGGGGAGGUAGUUGUGGAGAUAAUCGCUUCCCAAGCCUAAGAACCCUAGUCAAGUUUGAAAGAACCUCUGACCACAUUGGCUCUGAAACAACAGCCAAGAUUUUCAUCAAGAAAAUCCAGCAGUGGGGAAUAUUGGUCAAUGAUCGCAAGAUUGAACCAGCUAUCUAGAAGAAUUAUAAUUAUUCUAAGCAAAGAGAGGAUUAUGACGUUAUCUUUGUAAAAGUCUCGACCCAAUCUCGUGCCAGCAGUCGCGGUAAAACGAGUGAGGCAAGCGUUAUUCAUCAUUAUUAGGUCUAAAGGGUGAGUAGGUGGUUUAUGGAAACUAGAGUCGAAUAGAAGAAUAAAGAAUUUUGGGAGUAGAGAUGAAAUUCUAUGAUACUCAUAGGACUGCUAAAGGCGAAAGCAUUAUUCUAAUUAACGACUGACACUGAGGUACGAAAGCAUAAGUAGCGAAAAGGAUUAGAUACCCUUGUAGUUUAUGCUGUAAACGAUGAAUGCUAGAGGUUAGAAUUCUAUUAAUUUUAGUCUCUAAGUGAAGAUUAUAAGCAUUCCACCUGGGAAGUACUGUCGCAAGGCUGAAACUCAAAACAUUAGACGGUCACAGAGAUCAGCAGUGAAGCAUGUUGUUUAAUUCGAUAACCCACGAUAAAUCUUACCACUUCUUGCAUAGUAUAUAUAUAUAUAUAUAUAUUACAGGUGUUGCAUGGCUGUCUUUAGUUCGUGUUGUGAAAUGUUAGGUUAAUUCCGAAAACGAACGCAACCCUUAUCUUUAAUUUAAUUACUUAAAGAAGUAUCCUUCAAUAAGAAGGAAUAAUUAGGAUGAAGACAAGUCCUCAUGACCCUAAUGGAGUGGGCUACAGACGUGCCACAAUGAUUUCUACAAUAGGAAGCAAAGAUUUAAAAGUCAGAGCUAAUCCCUGAAAGGAAAUAUAAGUACGGAUAAGAAUCUGGAACUCGAUUCUUUGAAGCAGGAAUUGCUAGUAAUCGUCCAUCAGCAUGGGACGGUGAAACGAACAUCUGUGAUGUACUAACUACUCGUCAAGCGCAGAAAUUGUUAGGAAAUAUCAAGUUUUAUACGUCUAUUUUCUAGAGAUUUGUGCUAAGUCGAAAUAAGGUAGCUGUAGGGGAACCUGUAGCUGAAUUAUUUAAUCU
This 1327-nucleotide ribosomal RNA is filed under the name Pneumocystis sp. 'ludovicianus'. Its description in RNAcentral is "SSU rRNA". It matches the Rfam family "Bacterial small subunit ribosomal RNA". Lineage: Eukaryota; Fungi; Ascomycota; Pneumocystomycetes; Pneumocystales; Pneumocystaceae. The record is from RNAcentral.